GGUCAAAGUGCAGCCAAUAAGCAGAUGACGAUGGGUUACAACCUCUACAUAGACAAUGAAUUAAUUUUUUUAAAAAAUUUAUAAAAGUGGACUUGACUGUAAUUAAUUUCAAAAAAUUUUAAUGGAAAUGAAUCUAAGACAUGCACACAUCGCCCGUCACUCCCACCUAAAGGUGGGAUAAGUCGUAACAAAGUAGGUGUAACGGAAGUUGCACCUGU
This 218-nucleotide ribosomal RNA is filed under the name Tritogenia douglasi. RNAcentral's name for it is "partial 12S ribosomal RNA". It matches the Rfam family "Microsporidia small subunit ribosomal RNA", at positions 1042 to 1303 of the family's 1311-position model. The record is from RNAcentral. Lineage: Eukaryota; Metazoa; Annelida; Clitellata; Crassiclitellata; Microchaetidae.